UGCAUUUCUAGGGGAUAGUCUCAUAGG
Molecule: non-coding RNA, 27 nt
Filed under: Mus musculus (house mouse)
Lineage: Eukaryota; Metazoa; Chordata; Mammalia; Rodentia; Muridae
Source: RNAcentral